UACGUAGGUGGCAAGCGUUUGUCCGGAAUUAUUGGGCGUAAAGCGCGCGCAGGCGGUUCUUUUAAGUCUGAUGUGAAAGCCCACGGCUCAACCGUGGAGGGUCAUUGGAAACUGGAGAACUUGAGUACAGAAGAGGAAAGCGGAAUUCCACGUGUAGCGGUGAAAUGCGUAGAGAUGUGGAGGAACACCAGUGGCGAAGGCGGCUUUCUGGUCUGUAACUGACGCUGAGGCGCGAAAGCGUGGGGAGCAAACAGG
This 255-nucleotide ribosomal RNA is filed under the name uncultured bacterium. RNAcentral's name for it is "partial 16S ribosomal RNA". It matches the Rfam family "Bacterial small subunit ribosomal RNA", at positions 524 to 776 of the family's 1533-position model. The record is from RNAcentral.